GACAUUCCGCAUGAUCAACAGAUGGCAGUGUUGACCUGCUUUAGAGAGUGCUGUCAGCUGUGAGGUACUGCUCCCUCCUCUGGGUUAUCAGUCGAACCGGGCUGAGAGCCAAGUGUAGUUUCCCAGUUCACUUCCUCUACCAACCAGCCCCCACUAGAAGGGUCCCUCUGAGGGGAAGGGCUGAAAGCACCGAACAGCAGAGCAGACACCGGCUGGCCGCCUUUGCAUGGUUCCUUCAAGUUUGAUCUAAAAAAUGCUUGAAAUGCUUCUUUCCCAGCAGAUUUGAAUCUCAAAGCCCCGAGAGCCUGUCAGCAGGAGAUGAAACGUUUGAAGGAUGUGGCUUAGGCCUCUAUUCAUUUGUCAUAGCAUCUGUGCUCCUCAGGAGAAUGACAACAACCAAUUGCAACCGGUGUUUCGUGAAUACUCAGCACAUUCUACAGCUUGUGCCAGAAGUUUUAUAUCUUAGGAAACUGGGUCUGCUCUCAACUCUUGGUGGGUGACUCCAAUCUCUCAUAAUUUAAUCACACUUCGUGAAGUAAACCUAUCAGAAUUUCCGUUUACACGUAGAGAAACCGAAGCAGAGAAAAGUGAAGUAGCAAGUUUAGACAGCGGAUAGAGAGAUUUGGGAUUUGAACCCAGAACUCGGGAGUCCUGUCAUCGUGUUCCUGAGGGAGCAUUCAGAACUAGUCUGAUUUCUGGUAUACCACUCUGUAUCUGGGAACUGGAGGACGCUCCAGAUUCCAUCUGGGGAGGCUAGGUAGGUCUGUGAAGGUCUUCCUCCCAUCUGUAGGAGUCGGCUGCUUGGAGGUAGCCUCUCCAUCUGGGGAAGCCAGGUCCGUGAUGGUCCUCCUCCCAUCUGUUUCUCAUCGGAGAUGGCUGCCGUGAGGCAGCCUCUCAAUCAAAAUUCUGUGGUACCACUCGUAAGGGCGUCCUUAUCUGAAUUGCCUGUUCUCUUUGUCUCUAUCGUUGUUGCUUCUUUGACUUUCUUGAAGGAUGACUUUAUUAUGGGACGGACUAUGACUUCUUUUUGACCUUCCCCCCACUGAUCCCCCAGCAGGUCUGCAGCAGGGUGCCACCAGAUGACGAUGGAAAUCAGUAAGUGGAAGGCCCAUAACCCCCUUUUCCGAAAAUCCCCAAGCUCUAACUGAUUUGUUUGAAUCUGUCCUAUUCUCACACCAGCCCACUUGGGAUGAUUGCCAGCAACUCUUGCAGGCCCUCCUGACUACCGAGGAACGGGGGCGGGUUCUCCUUGAGGCAAGAAAGAAUGUGCCGGGAAUGGACGGGAAGCCUUCCAUCCUCCCUAAUGAGAUUGAUGAUGGCUUUCCCCUCACCCGCCCCAACUGGGAUUACAACACACCCAGAGGUAGGGAGCACCUGAAAGUCUACCACUUGACUCUAAUGGUGGGUCUCUGUGGGGCCGACCGAUAAGCCUACCAAUUUGACUAAGGUAAGAGAGACGGUUCAGGGGCCGGAUGAAUCCCCCGCAGCCUUUCUUGAACGGCUGAUGGAGGCAUACCACCUGUUUAUGCCCUAUGACCCUACCUCAGAUGAGCAUAGGGCAAUGGUGACUAUAACCUUUAUAGACCAGUCAGCCAGAGAUAUUCAUAGAAAACUCCAGAAAAUAGAAGGUUUGCAAGACAAGUCACUGAAGGAUUUAGUGCAGGUAGCAGAAAAGGUUUUCUACAGCCAGGAGACAGAAGAAGAGAAAGAGGAAAGAAAGCAGAAAAAGCAGGAAGUGAGGGAAAGAGAAGGAAUAAGAGGCAAGACAGAAAGUUGACUAAGAUCCUGACCACCGUAGUGCAGGAGAGUCGUAAUGAUAGGGAGAGAGUUCUGGCAAUUGGAGGGGCCCUCUGUCUAAGGAUCAGUGUGCCUACUACAAAGAGAAAGGACACUGGAUCAAGGAUUGUCCCAAAAGGAGGAAAAUGCCGGAAAAACGGAACACUUGAGCCCCGAAGACCCAGGUCCUAAUCCUGGGCGAUGACAGCAACUAGGGGGACGAGGUUCGGUUCCCCUCCCCAAGCCCAGGGUAACCCUUAAAGUGGAGGGGAAGUGGUCCACUUCUUGGUGGACACUGGCGCCCAGCAUUCUGUCCUGUUACAAGACUUUGGAGCUAAAAAAGAAAAAAUCGUGGGUCCAAGGAGCCACCGGAUGUAAACAAUAUUCAUGAACUACCCGAAGAAGGGUGGACCUUGGAGUGGGCCGGGUAUCCCACUCAUUCUUAGUUGUCCCCACAUGCCCGUACCCACUGUUAGGGCAAGAUAUCCUAACCAAGAUAGGGGCCCAUAUUCAUUUUAGACCAGAUGGCCCACAGGUGACAGACAAUAAAGGGGAUCCCAUUCACGUGCUGACGAUUCAGCUGGAAGAUGAAUACCGACUGUUUGAAAAGGUGGUAAAUCCGGAAAAAGACAUUGACUGGUGGCUAGAGAGACAUCCCAGGGCACGGGCUGAAAUGGCUGGCCCAGGAAAAGCAGAGCGACAGCCCCCAGUUCAGAUAGAGCUGAAGCCUCAGGCUACCCCAAUCGCAGUGCGACAAUAUCCGAUGUCUAAGGAAGCCCGUGACGGGAUCCGCCCUCACAUACAGCGGCUCCUUGACCCAGGGGUUCUCAAAAGGUGCCAAUCCGCCUGGAAUACUCCAUUGCUGCCAGUUUGGAAGCCUGGGAGCAACGACUAUCGACCUGUACAGGACUUGAGCGAAGUUAACAAACAGGUCACGGACUUACAUCCUACUGUGCCUAACCUGUAAAACCUGUUGAGUUCCCUUCCCCCUGACAGGGCUUGGUAUACCGUCCUGGACCUUAAUUAAGGCUUCUUUUGUCUUCAACUUAGCCCUACCAGCCAAGACAUUUUCGCUUUUGAAUGGAAAGACCCGGACUCAGGGGUCUCGGGCCAGCUUACAUGGACCAUAUUUGAUGAAGCCACUGGCUGUUGCAAGAGCUGGGUGAGCUCAGCUAUAGAGCGUUGGCGAAAAAGGCCCAGCUCUGCAGGAAACAGGUCAGUUAUCUGGGAUAUAUACUGAGAGGAAAAGAGAUGGCUAUUGGAGGCUAGAAAAGAGACUGUAUUUCAUAUUCCCCCUCCUACUAAACAACUGAGGGAACUUUUAGGUACGGUGGGGUUUUGCCAGCUGUGGAUUCCAGGAUUUGCUGAGAUGGCAGCCCCUCUGUAUGCCCUUACAAAGGGCAAGCACUCUUUCAUCUGGGGAAAGGAUGAACAAGCCACAUUUGAUAACAAGCCUUAAUGUCCGCCCCAGCACUAGGACUGCCUGAUGUAACCAAACCCUUCCAUCUCUGUGUGGCCGAGAAUUGGGGAAUGGCCAAAAGGGGUGCUAACACAGAAAAUUGGACCCUGGAAGAGACCAGUAGCCUAUCUAUCCAAAAAGCUUGAUUCAGUAGCGGCAGGAUGGCCAAUGGCAGUGGUGGCACUGACUCUGUAUAAACUGACUCUGGGACAGGACCUUACCAUCUAUGCUCCUCAUGCCCUUGAGAGUGUCAUAAGGCAGCCACCUGAUCGCUGGCACACGAAUGCCCGAAUGACGCAUUACCAGGCUUUGCUCUUGAAUAAUGAUAGUCACCUUUGCCCCGGUGAGAGGGCUAAACCCUGCCACCUUAUUGCCGGAUCCAGAAAUCCAGCCCCCGGAGCAUGAUUGUUUGCAGGUUCUAGCAGAGGAACAGGGAUGGUGAAAGGACUUGAGAUUCUGGCUUUGCUCAAUGCCUUGUUGCUGCCCGCCAAGGCUGAAAGGACUGCAGCUUAUUCAGAAAGAAAUUUGGAGAAAGGUUGGCAGUACAUAUGCGCCUGGGUCCUUGGAGGUUGGAGAUCUGGUAUGUGCGACGACAUCAUAGCCAGAAUCUGGAACCUUGGUGGAAGGGUCCUUAUGACGUCCUGCUCGCCAUUAUACCAACUGCCGUCAAAGUAGAGGGCAUCGCAUCUUGGAUCCAUGGGUCACACAUCAAGCCAGCUCUUCAUCAACCUGCAGACACCUGGAAAGUCCAAGCCUCCAGCAACCCGCUAAAACUGAAACUCAUCAUGGACAAUAAACUCUCUGGCCAGUACUCGCCUUCGUCAGGGAACGUGUAAAUGCAGUUUAGGUCCUGACGCUCCAGAGACAGUAUCAACCUCUCCCUGAGGCUGAUCCACAAUUUUAGGGUUAAAAUUCAGGCAAAAAGAAAAGGGGGGAAUGAGGGACCACCUGGGAAUGAGAAACAACUGUGAUUUUUUGAAUUGAAGCCAGGUGCAGAGAGCUCUUGAAGGGCGGGUGAACUGUUCUGAGAAACAACCAGCUGUAAACUAUCUACAACAGCUGUAAACUGUAGAGCAAAAGUGACCUGGUUUUCAGGUAUAAAAACCCUGUGCUCUGCAUGUUCGGGGUUGUCUCCUGUCUUUGGAGGAGCGACCCUAUCGUGAUAGCAAUAAAACCUCUUG
This is a long non-coding RNA of Meriones unguiculatus (Mongolian gerbil), 4416 nucleotides long. RefSeq lists it as uncharacterized. Lineage: Eukaryota; Metazoa; Chordata; Mammalia; Rodentia; Muridae. The transcript is spliced from 3 exons. The record is from RefSeq and is a predicted model, not a curated record.